GCGUUGUCCGGAAUUAUUGGGCGUAAAGAGCUUGUAGGCGGUUUGUCGCGUCUGCUGUGAAAAUCCGGGGCUCAACCCCGGACUUGCAGUGGGUACGGGCAGGCUAGAGUGUGGUAGGGGAGACUGGAAUUCCUGGUGUAGCGGUGAAAUGCGCAGAUAUCAGGAGGAACACCGAUGGCGAAGGCAGUUCUCUGGGCCACAACUGACGCUGAGAGGCGAAAGCGUG
Molecule: ribosomal RNA, 226 nt
Filed under: uncultured bacterium
Lineage: Bacteria
Description: partial 16S ribosomal RNA
Rfam family: Bacterial small subunit ribosomal RNA
Source: RNAcentral